ACGGCUCAGUAACACGUAGUCAACAUGCCCAAGGGACGUGGAUAGCCUCGGGAAACUGAGGAUAAACCGCGAUAGGCCAAGAUUUCUGGAAUGGAUCAUGGCUGAAAUCUAUAUGGCCCUUGGAUUGGACUGCGGCCGAUCAGGCUGUUGGUGAGGUAAUGGCCCACCAAACCUAUAACCGGUACGGGCUCUGAGAGAAGGAGCCCGGAGAUGGGCACUGAGACAAGGGCCCAGGCCCUAUGGGGCGCAGCAGGCGCGAAAACUCUGCAAUAGGCGAAAGCUUGACAGGGUUACUCUGAGUGAUGCCCGCUAAGGGCAUCUUUUGGUACCUCUAAAAAUGGUGCAGAAUAAGGGGUGGGCAAGUCUGGUGUCAGCCGCCGCGGUAAUACCAGCACCCCGAGUGGUCGGGACGAUUAUUGGGCCUAAAGCAUCCGUAGCUUGUCUUGCAAGUCUUCCGUUAAAUCCACCUGCUCAACAGAUGGGCUGCGGGAGAUACUACAGGGCUAGGAGGCGGGAGAGGCAAGCGGUACUCAGUGGGUAGGGGUAAAAUCCUCUGAUCCACUGAAGACCACCAAUGGCGAAGGCGGCUUGCCAGAACGCGCUCGACGGUGAGGGAUGAAAGCUGGGGGAGCAAACCGGAUUAGAUACCCGGGUAGUCCCAGCUGUAAACGAUGCAGACUCGGUGAUGGGUUGGCUUCGGGCCAACCCAGUGCCGCAGGGAAGCCGUUAAGUCUGCCGCCUGGGGAGUACGGUCGCAAGACUGAAACUUAAAGGAAUUGGCGGGGGAG
RNAcentral lists this ribosomal RNA (788 nucleotides) under uncultured archaeon. Its description in RNAcentral is "bacterial SSU rRNA". It matches the Rfam family "Archaeal small subunit ribosomal RNA", at positions 85 to 876 of the family's 1478-position model. The record is from RNAcentral.